Molecule: unclassified non-coding RNA, 151 nt
Filed under: uncultured Sordariales
Lineage: Eukaryota; Fungi; Ascomycota; Sordariomycetes; Sordariales
Description: sequence contains ITS1
Source: RNAcentral
GAAGAGUUGAAAAACUCCCAAACCCACUGUAAACCUACCUGUAUCGUUGCUUCGGCGGGCGGCCCCAGGGCGGGGCCUUUUGCAGGUGUCCGCUGACGGCCCCUAUAAACUCUUUUUUUUUUGGGUACUCUGAGUAAGACCAAAUGAGUCA